Molecule: ribosomal RNA, 244 nt
Filed under: uncultured Staphylococcus sp.
Lineage: Bacteria; Bacillati; Bacillota; Bacilli; Caryophanales; Staphylococcaceae
Description: partial 16S ribosomal RNA
Rfam family: Bacterial small subunit ribosomal RNA
Source: RNAcentral
CGGCGGACGGGUGAGUAACACGUGGGUAACCUACCUAUAAGACUGGGAUAACUCCGGGAAACCGGGGCUAAUACCGGAUAACACAUGUAACCGCAUGGUUCAAUAGUGAAAGACGGUUUUGCUGUCACUUAUAGAUGGAUCCGCGCCGCAUUAGCUAGUUGGUAAGGUAACGGCUUACCAAGGCAACGAUGCGUAGCCGACCUGAGAGGGUGAUCGGCCACACUGGAACUGAGACACGGUCCAG